UAAAUCAAAUACAACUUUCAACAACGGAUCUCUUGGCUCUCGCAUCGAUGAAGAACGCAGCGAAAUGCGAUAAGUAAUGUGAAUUGCAGAAUUCAGUGAAUCAUCGAAUCUUUGAACGCACCUUGCGCUCCUUGGUAUUCCGAGGAGCAUGCCUGUUU
This 158-nucleotide ribosomal RNA is filed under the name Clitopilus passeckerianus. RNAcentral's name for it is "5.8S ribosomal RNA". It matches the Rfam family "5.8S ribosomal RNA". Rfam says of the family: 5.8S ribosomal RNA (5.8S rRNA) is a component of the large subunit of the eukaryotic ribosome. It is transcribed by RNA polymerase I as part of the 45S precursor that also contains 18S and 28S rRNA. Lineage: Eukaryota; Fungi; Basidiomycota; Agaricomycetes; Agaricales; Entolomataceae. The record is from RNAcentral.